AAAAUCUUUUACCUUCUCUUUGGGGCUAUCUUAAGCCUAUGUUUACAUUACAUAGGGAAGAGAAUAUUUUUUCUAAGAUAGUUUAGAAAAUGGUUUGUGACUCAAGGAUUUUUGACUGUCUUUAUUUAUAACAAAAUCUUUAGCCUCUUUUAUUUCUAAAACCAGCAAAAGACAUUUCUGAAGCUGUACAUCUCCUCAAAUGUAAUUUUUUUUUAUUUUUAGCAAAUAAAGAAAUCAGUAUUUGUGCAUCAGAAUUUCUUUAGGUUUCAUACUGCUGGGAAAUUAUAUAUAAUUUGGUUUUGGAUUGUAGUGAUUUUUAUACUCAGGAUCUCAUCUUCUGUCUGCUGCAGAAAUGGCUCCCUCACUCCUCUCCAGACCCUCUUCAAAGUGGCAUUGGCAAGACACAUGCAUCUCGCCUUUAGCUACUGUAAACUUAAUUUACAUGUGACUCUCUCAUUGCAAUAUUAUUAACCUAAGAUAGUCCUGUUUGUAAAGGAAUCUACAUGACACAUGUAUUUUAGUCUCAGUUGGACCCUCCAUCUGAUCAAAUUCUGUUCUAGAUUUGUUUCAAUUUUGUGAUAGCAAGAAUGAAAACAUUAUGUAGUUUCUGCUCCCUUAUUUUAUCUUCAACUGGUCUUGGUGACUUGUAAGCAUUACCUUGAAUUCACUGACAUCACAUAGUCUACUCCUACUUACUAAUCCUGAUAAAUGUUUUUCCAAUAAAAAUAUUUCUCUCCAAUGAGGGCUGUCUGCUUAGUAUCAUUCAUGUGGAUUUUAUUGAUUGAUAGCUGAAUCCAAAAGUAUUCUCUCUUAGGGCAUAGUGCUGUGCAGUUUCUCAUUUGGUAUUCUUUUGAAUUCUUUUUGUCUAGUUAACAAACUAUUUAACAAACUGCCCACAGAACAGAAGGCUUAAAGCAACGUUUUAUUACAGCUCACUAUUUUCUUGAUCAGAAAUUUGGAAAUUUGGGUGAUACAACUGUUUCCUGUGGCAUUAAUGGAGGUCUCUUGGUGGUAUUCAGCUGGCAGAUGGGCUAAUCUGCAGAGCCCAAGAUGGCUUUACUUACAUGUCUGCCACUUUGAUGGACAUGGCUGGAAGACUGACCUUAGCUACGCAGGGUUGGCUGCUCUUUGUCAAGGACUGAGAUAUUGUUUUCACACAUCAAUGCUAUCUACCUGAAAAGAAACUGAAUAUCUCAGUUGGACUGGAUUUCUGCAGUUGAUGAAUUAGAGUUAGGCCCAAAUCCCCAGUGUUAGGUCACAAAAACCUUACGUUCAGCCUGU
RNAcentral lists this long non-coding RNA (1281 nucleotides) under Papio anubis (olive baboon). RNAcentral describes it as "lncRNA (ENSPANG00000041787.1)". Lineage: Eukaryota; Metazoa; Chordata; Mammalia; Primates; Cercopithecidae. The record is from RNAcentral.